UUUCCGUAGGUGAACCUGCGGAAGGAUCAUUAUUGUAUAACCGAGGUGCGAGGGCUGUCGCUGACCCGAAAGGUCGUGCACGCCCGAGUGCCCUCACACACAUCCAUCUCACCCCUAUGUGCACCACCGCGUGGGUCCCCCUUUGGCUUGUUCGGAGGGGGGCUUACGUUUUCACACAAACUUUGUAUGCAGUGUAGAAUGUAUUUUUUGUUUUUGCGAUCACGCAAUCAAUACAACUUUCAACAACGGAUCUCUUGGCUCUCGCAUCCAUGAAGAACGCAGC
Molecule: unclassified non-coding RNA, 283 nt
Filed under: plant metagenome
Description: partial contains small subunit ribosomal RNA, internal transcribed spacer 1, and 5.8S ribosomal RNA
Rfam family: 5.8S ribosomal RNA (bases 235-283)
Source: RNAcentral